UACCACUACACUUUGAUACUAGUCCGCCCUUCUGAAAAGAUAAAGGAUGUGUACUUUCUCUGUAUCUUCACACUUCUGAUCUGCUCUCUACAGCCAUUGUCUGUAACUCAUAAGUGCCCGGAAUAUUCUGUGAGUAAAUUCUUCAAAGAAAACGUUCAUCAUCUACAGCCUUUAUUUGGAUAACCAACAUUCUCACUACCCGAAAUUAAACGAACACGCGGAGGAAAAAGUGUCCUCCAACAACUGAUGACACCGACGUGAUUUCGGACUUAGGUGUUGGUUGACAGACAGAACAUCGGCCGGCGAACAAUUGAGAAGGUAAGAGCACAUUUAUCCUCCAAAAAUGAUCGACUGUCUGUUAACUGGGGUUGAGGUCCAUGGCACGUUUGAAUUUGUUACAUUGUGAAAUUAUAAUUUUUGGCUGGAUGAACAGUAGGGGAAAUUGAACAUUAAUAAGUCCUGGGUUUGAGGCCCUGGUGGGUAAUUGUCGCGUGCCACCUAAAUGGUUGAAAAGCCAUAGAGUGUCUGGGCGUACCACUCUAAAAAUUGUUUAAAAGUGCCCUGUGUUCGGAAGUUGUGCCGAAACAAAAAGGUUUUAAAUACCGGGUUGGCAGAACACACCGAUAAGGUUGAGGCCAGCCCGAAAUUUUCUGGACCACGAGGUUUUCUAGUUCUUUUCGGAGAAUCCUAGAGACUAGAAUUCCUCAUUCAAAAUCAAAGGACAAAGAGCGAUAAGUCCUGGGUUCGAGGGGCAGAGGGGGGUUCGAUUUAAAACAUAAUGCAGAGACAGUUUGACAGUUUGCAGGGAAAGUGAAUGGUUCGAUUUGCGGCAAUUGCCAAAGCAUUCUGAACAAUUGUUGCUAAAUAUACAAAUGAGAAAUGCAUCUGAUUUGUGUGUUGGAAGGUUGCCUGAAAAAGAACGAGAUAGUGAGAAAGAACAGUUGAAAGAUUGGAGGAAAUGUUGUGAGAAUGGUUCCCUCCAUUGUCUUUGACUGCGUGUUUGGUGACAUUAAUAAAAGAAACGGAAUAAGCUUGCAUUAAAAGAGUGGCGGCUUUAAACUUGGAAGUGUAAAAAAAAAUAAUUAACAGGUUAUCUUCAAAUGGUAGAAACGUGAGAGAGAAUAUUAACAAAGUUGUGGAAAUGAAAGUGAAAGCGAGAAUGAUGGCAAUGGGAUGUGCGUUAAAGUUGUCGUGUUUGGCUGUCAAGGAAGUUACCGUCAACACCCAAAUUGCCCUCCGUGGCGCCUAAACUUUGGCUGCUGGAGUAACCGCCGCUAUUAGAGAAUUAGAAGGCAGAUUGGAAAAAGUGGCCAACUUGAGACCAUUCACACUUUUGACUCAGCUAUGACUGUACAAGACAGAAUUAAAUAGACACCAGGAGGUUCCAUAAAAUAUCAGAAAUCAAUUUAAGAGAACCGCUACUAAACAUGAAGACAGCACGAACGCUGAAGCGGAAAAGCAAGACCGUGCCCUUCGCGCUAAACAACAAGCAGCCCGACUGAAAGAAGUAACAGGGAGUUGCUGUCUAUGCUGCGGAACACGCAGCUAGAGGCUCUUCAAAUGGGGAAGCAGAAAACAGGUUGUAUGUUGCUCAGUUACAAUCAACUAGCAGAAUUAAAGUCUCAUGUCCAGAAUCUUUCAGGUGUCCACCCUGACUCCAUUUUGGAUCGAACCUAAGGUCAUGAAGACCCAGAGGAAUCUUUCAAAGGUCCAGCUUUUCCUCCUCAUCACCGUGUGACUCGUUCCCAAAUCUUGCAGGCACCCAUGUUAGCCAAAGUUGACUGAGCUACUAGCAACUCUAUGUUUUACAAAUCUUUCUCUCCCACUGAUGUGAGUGUGUUGGUGCAGAAACUUCCAUCCAUGCAAUCUGGUGGUGCCCAUUGGCUUCAAGCAGUGGAGAGAACGGUUACGGGACUAAUGUUAACCGCAGGAAAUGAAUCAGCAGAUCAAGCAGCAAAAAAGGUUGAGGGGUACCGACCAACACUACAGCUUACUGUAAGUGAGUCUGAAUGUGACAAUCAACAGGAGGUGACAGUAGAAACAGUUAAGAUGUGGCAGGAAAAAGCAAGUCCAGAAGAAAAGUGUGUGGAAGUCGAAAGGGGGUGUCAAAGAUGAGGAUGGCAUAUGGCGAAAAGAGGGUAAGUGGAUUCCAUCUCGGACACAAUUGAAAAAUCUGAUUUUUGAAGCCCAUGGAACAUGUAGGUGUGGAUCAAAUAUUGAGACGACACCACACCUAUUGAAAUCCUUUCAUGAGACAAUUUUUUUAAUAGGUGAACUGCAGGACUACAGCGUUUGCGGUAGGUAUAACAGUAUGCUUACAACGAAAUCACCACAGGGAGUCCAGGAUCCGGACGUGGACGCCCCUGAUCAGGUCCCUUUCAGGUCACGGAGCAGACGAUCACAGCAGUACGUCCUCCAGGAAAGGGGGGCACGUGGUUCUACAUCUCGUCAACACGACCUGCCAGAUCCACCUCGGGUUCAGCGAUCCCUCCACCUGACGACAACCGGA
Syngnathoides biaculeatus (alligator pipefish) is the source of this 2509-nucleotide long non-coding RNA. RefSeq lists it as uncharacterized. The transcript is spliced from 3 exons. Lineage: Eukaryota; Metazoa; Chordata; Actinopteri; Syngnathiformes; Syngnathidae. The record is from RefSeq and is a predicted model, not a curated record.